UAGGGAAUCUUCCGCAAUGGGCGAAAGCCUGACGGAGCAACGCCGCGUGAGUGAUGAAGGUCUUCGGAUCGUAAAACUCUGUUAUUAGGGAAGAACAAAUGUGUAAGUAACUAUGCACGUCUUGACGGUACCUAAUCAGAAAGCCACGGCUAACUACGUGCCAGCAGCCGCGGUAAUACGUAGGUGGCAAGCGUUAUCCGGAAUUAUUGGGCGUAAAGCGCGCGUAGGCGGUUUUUUAAGUCUGAUGUGAAAGCCCACGGCUCAACAGUGGAGGGUCAUUGGAAACUGGAAAACUUGAGUGCAGAAGAGGAAAGUGGAAUUACAUGUGUAGCGGUGAAAUGCGCAGAGAUAUGGAGGAACACCAGUGGCGAAGGCGACGUUCUGGUCUGUAACUGACGCUGAUGAGCGAAAGCGUGGGGAUCAAACAGG
This 429-nucleotide ribosomal RNA is filed under the name Actinomycetes bacterium. RNAcentral describes it as "Actinobacteria bacterium partial 16S ribosomal RNA". It matches the Rfam family "Bacterial small subunit ribosomal RNA", at positions 355 to 776 of the family's 1533-position model. The record is from RNAcentral. Lineage: Bacteria; Bacillati; Actinomycetota; Actinomycetes.